AGUGAACGCUGGCGGUAGGCCUAACACAUGCAAGUCGAACGGCAGCACAGUAAGAGCUUGCUCUUACGGGUGGCGAGUGGCGGACGGGUGAGGAAUACAUCGGAAUCUACUUUUUCGUGGGGGAUAACGUAGGGAAACUUACGCUAAUACCGCAUACGACCUACGGGUGAAAGCAGGGGAUCUUCGGACCUUGCGCGAUUGAAUGAGCCGAUGUCGGAUUAGCUAGUUGGCGGGGUAAAGGCCCACCAAGGCGACGAUCCGUAGCUGGUCUGAGAGGAUGAUCGGCCACACUGAAACUGAGACACGGUCCAGACUCCUACGGGAGGCAGCAGUGGGGAAUAUUGGACAAUGGGCGCAAGCCUGAUCCAGCCAUACCGCGUGGGUGAAGAAGGCCUUCGGGUUGUAAAGCCCUUUUGUUGGGAAAGAAAAGCAGCAGGUUAAUACCCCGCUGUUCGGACGGUACCCAAAGAAUAAGCACCGGCUAACUUCGU
This 491-nucleotide ribosomal RNA is filed under the name uncultured bacterium. Its description in RNAcentral is "partial 16S ribosomal RNA". It matches the Rfam family "Bacterial small subunit ribosomal RNA", at positions 29 to 506 of the family's 1533-position model. The record is from RNAcentral.